UACGUAGGGACCAAGCGUUGUUCGGAUUUACUGGGCGUAAAGGGCGCGUAGGCGGCGUGUUAAGUCACUUGUGAAAUCUCUAAGCUUAACUUAGAACGGUCAAGUGAUACUGAUGUGCUAGAGUGCAGAAGGGGCAACCGGAAUUCUUGGUGUAGCGGUGAAAUGCGUAGAUAUCAAGAGGAACACCUGAGGUGAAGACGGGUUGCUGGGCUGACACUGACGCUGAGGCGCGAAAGCUAGGGUAGCAAAC
RNAcentral lists this ribosomal RNA (250 nucleotides) under uncultured bacterium. Its description in RNAcentral is "partial 16S ribosomal RNA". It matches the Rfam family "Bacterial small subunit ribosomal RNA", at positions 524 to 773 of the family's 1533-position model. The record is from RNAcentral.